AAAUUAGACCAGGGUUCAUAUUUCAGUCAGCAGAUGCCACAGCCAGGACUGUUGACUGUGCACUGCUCUCUGCUUUAUGUCAGUCUACGUAGGUGGCUAGAGAUCGGAAAGGGCUUCCAUGCAGUUGAACUUUUUUUCUUCUCUUUAUUCACUUGUUUCCUGAAUUCUGUUUUCUUUUUUAUUUCCUUUGUGGUAUCAAGGAAUGAAUCCAGGGUCUUAUGUAUAUACAAUACUACUCUGAUAAAUCCCUGGCCUAAUUUUUAUUCUAUAUUUGGGGGCGGUGGGCGGGGGGGGUAGAGAGAGAGAAAAGGAGAAGAAAGAGGAGAAACCAGAGCACUGUUCACCAUCGUGGAGUUCCAACGGUGCUGUCCAUAGUCCCUUUGAAUGAUCGUUUGAGUGUCCUCUGGAUAAAUGCCUAAGAGGGGGUAUUGCUAUAUCAUAAGGUAAUUCUAUUUCUUUUUUUUAAUAUUUCUUUCUUUAUUUAUUUCCUUUUGUUGCCCUUGUUGUUUUUUAUUGUUGUAGUUAUUGUUGCUAUUGUUGUUGUUGUUGGAUAGGACAGAGAGAAAUGGAGAGAGGAGGGGAAGACAGAGAGGGGGAGAGAAAGACAGACACCUGCAGACCUGCUUCACCGCCUUUGAAGCGACUCCCCUGCAGGUGGGGAGCCGGGGGCUGGAACCGGGAACCUUCCACGCCACAUGCAUUGAACCUGCUGCGCUACUGGCCGACUCCCGUCACCAGGUUCCAGGUGUCAUCAGGAUACCGGCCAGACUUCCCUGGAUUGAAGACCCCACCAAUGUGUCCUGGAGCUCAGCUUCCCCAGAGACACACCCUACUAGGGAAAGAGAGAGGCAGACUGAGAGUAUGGACCGACCAGUCAACGCCCAUGUUCAGCGGGGAAGCAAUUACAGAAGCCAGACCUUCUACCUUCUGCAACCUACAAUGACCCUGGGUCCAUGCUCCCAGAGGGAUAGAGAAUGGGAAAGCUACUGGGGAGGGGGUGGUAUAUGGAGACUGGGCGGUGGGAAUUGUGUGGAGUUGUACCCCUCCUACCCUAUGGUUUUGUUAAUUAAUCCUUUCUAAAAUAAAAAAAAAUAGUACAAUAAAAAAAGAACACUAUGACAUAUUUCUCCACUUAAUUAAAUUUUUUUUUUAAUUUUCAAAAAAAAAUACCCAUCAGAAGAUAACUGAAUAAAGAAGUUAUGGGGUAUAUAGUCAAUGAAAUACUACUCUGAAGUUUAAAAAGAUGAUAUUGUGCCUUUUGAAAUAAAAUGGAUGGAACUUGA
Long non-coding RNA from Erinaceus europaeus (western European hedgehog), 1283 nucleotides. RefSeq lists it as uncharacterized. The transcript has 2 exons. The record is from RefSeq and is a predicted model, not a curated record. NCBI's taxonomy places the organism in Eukaryota, Metazoa, Chordata, Mammalia, Eulipotyphla, Erinaceidae.